Molecule: ribosomal RNA, 226 nt
Filed under: uncultured bacterium
Lineage: Bacteria
Description: partial 16S ribosomal RNA
Rfam family: Bacterial small subunit ribosomal RNA
Source: RNAcentral
GCGUUGUCCGGAUUUACUGGGCGUAAAGCGCGUGUAGGCGGUGCCGGUAGUCUGCUGUGAAAGCGCCCCGCUUAACGGGGCGAGGUCGGCGGAAACUGCGGCACUCGAGGACGGUAGAGGGGGGUGGAAUUCCCGGUGUAGUGGUGAAAUGCGUAGAGAUCGGGAGGAACACCUGUGGCGAAGGCGGCCCCCUGGGCCGGCCCUGACGCUGAGACGCGAAGGCUAG